CAUGGCGAUUGAAGGUGGAGAGAGAACCUGUGGAGUACAUGAACUUACCUGUUUUAGAAAAGUAUCUCCAGAGGCAGUUGGGUUUUUGUCAGCUGUUUGGGUGUUUAUUAUCCUGAUGCUGCUUCUUUUUCUCUAUAUUAAUAAGCAGUUCUGUUUUGAAAAUGUUGGAGGGCUUCCAGAUCUUGGUUCAGAAUACAGUACAAGGAACAAUUCACAAGAUAAAAUGUGUCUGUGACUCCCAAAUGAGCGUGUCAGAAAUGUCUUGUAGUGAAAGUACAUCCGCAUGUCAGUCUCUCGAAGACGGGUCAGUUCCAGAAAUUCUCAUUAGCCUGCUUUAUAAUGCCACAAAUGGGAGACUAUCAGCAGAAGUGAUAAAAGGCAGCCACUUAAAAAAUUGGGCAGCAAACAGACCACCCAAUACAUAUGUUAAGUUAACUCUACGGAAAUCCACGGAUCAAGAGAUGUCCAAAUGCAAGAUAUCCAUCCGCAGAGGGCGGCCAAAUCCAGUAUACAAGGAAACUUUUGUUUUCAAAGUGACCCUAUUUCAGCUUUCUCAUGUGACACUCAUGCUGUCUGUGUAUAACAAAAGCAGCAUGAGAAGAAAGAUGAUAGGCUGGAUUUAUUUAGGUCUCAACAGCUCUGGAGAAGAACUCAAUCACUGGACUGAAAUGAAAGAGUCAAAAGGACGGCAAGUACGUAGAUGGCAGGCGUUGCUAGAGUCACGAUGAAUACAAUAAGCAAACAGUUACCAUCCAAUGCAGCAUAUUUCUAAUUACAACAUUACUGUUUCUACCAAGUCGCCAUUGGAAGAGCUGUUCUUUGAAGAAUCAUAUUCAACCUUUUACCAAAAUGCUUUAAGUUCUAUGGAAAGAACAUCUAAUACUGAGAUAAAUGAAGAAAAUAUGUGUAUCUGAUAGAGCUUGUUUGGGAAACUGAGAAACGUACAUUAUCAUUGUUAAACUAACAGUCCUCCAGAAAUUUAAUAAGAUGUUUUUGAUUUGAAGUUAAUUUUAAUUUAGCAAAAGAGCCGGUAAUUUUAUGAAAAAUCAAAAUUAUAAGUGAUUUUAAAAACCAGAGUUUUAGUCGCAAUAUAAUUUUAAUAUCACUCUACAUAUUAUUUAUAAAACAUAGUUUGGCCAGUCCCUGGUGUUUGUAAUGUUCUUUAAUAUGAAAAAGUAGUCCUCCAACCCUAUCGUAAGUCAUAUCUAAUGGCGAAGGGUUUCAGUCACAUUGAAAAUUGUUUUAUUUCAGACAUGUUCCUUUUGUGCACUUAGUUUCAUUGUGCCUCAGUUCCUCUCUAUAGCACUAAAUCUAAGUGCAGACAAGCAUUCGUUUUCAUACAGGAAUGUUUUUAAUAUGUUAAUUUUUUUUUAAAAGUUCAUUUUUCAUUUGCUUCUGCUUUUGCCUGAUCCAAAGAGACAAAGUCACUGUGCUGGUCCCUUGCAAGU
RNAcentral lists this long non-coding RNA (1448 nucleotides) under Homo sapiens (human). RNAcentral's name for it is "novel transcript". The record is from RNAcentral. Lineage: Eukaryota; Metazoa; Chordata; Mammalia; Primates; Hominidae.